This 490-nucleotide ribosomal RNA is filed under the name uncultured bacterium. Its description in RNAcentral is "partial 16S ribosomal RNA". It matches the Rfam family "Bacterial small subunit ribosomal RNA", at positions 30 to 507 of the family's 1533-position model. The record is from RNAcentral.
AUUGAACGCUGGCGGCAGGCCUAACACAUGCAAGUCGAACGGUAACAGGAAGAAGCUUGCUUCUUUGCUGGCGAGUGGCGGACGGGUGAGUAAUGUCUGGGAAACUGCCUGAUGGAGUGGGAUAACUACUGGAAACGGUAGCUAAUACCGCAUAACGUCGCAAGACCAAAGAGGGGGACCUUCGGGCCUCUUGCCAUCGUAUGUGCCCAGAUGGGAUUAUCUAGUAGGUGGGGUAACGGCUCACCUAGGCGACGAUCCCUAGCUGGUCUGAGAGGAUGACCAGCCACACGGGAACUGAGACACGGUCCAGACUACUACGGGAGGCAGCAGUGGGGAAUAGUGCACAAUGGGCGCAAGCAUGAUGCAGCCAUGCCGAGUGUAUGAAGAAGGACUUCGGGUUGUAAAGUACUUUCAGCGGGGAGGAAGGGAGUAAAGUUAAUACCUUUACUCAUUGACGUUACCCGCAGAAGAAGCACCGGCUAACUCCGUG